CAGUAGCCGCGGUAAAACGUAGGUGGCAAGCGUUGUCCGGAAUUAUUGGGCGUAAAGGGCUCGCAGGCGGUUUCUUAAGUCUGAUGUGAAAGCCCCCGGCUCAACCGGGGAGGGUCAUUGGAAACCGGGAAACUUGAGUGCAGAAGAGGAGAGUGGAAUUCCACGUGUAGCGGUGAAAUGCGUAGAGAUGUGGAGGAACACCAGUGGCGAAGGCGACUCUCUGGUCUGUAACUGACGCUGAGGAGCGAAAGCGUGGGGAGCGAACAGGAUUAGAUACCCCUGUAGUCCCUGUCUCUUAUAA
This 301-nucleotide ribosomal RNA is filed under the name uncultured bacterium. RNAcentral's name for it is "partial 16S ribosomal RNA". It matches the Rfam family "Bacterial small subunit ribosomal RNA", at positions 509 to 809 of the family's 1533-position model. The record is from RNAcentral.